CCCGAGCUGCAGACCCUUCUUCCCAGCGCGGCGCGACGGCCCCAAGCGGAUGGGCUGUCUCUGGUGAACACGUCCAACUCCAGAGGCUGUGACUCUGGGGACCUUCGUGACCCCAAGACAGGGUCACACACCCGUGGCAUUUGGUCGCCAAAUUCCAGCCACGAGAGCCGGAGGUCAAGGUUGGCAUGAGCGGAAGCCCAAGGGAUAGACUUGUGGGCCAGAGGCUCUGGCAGCGCAGGAAGCCCAGCCCGUGAGGAGGGGCUACAGAGCUGAGCUGCAAGCAUCCCUUAGAGCCAUGGGUUUCCAGUUGCUCAACUGGACCUAGCAGAGCUGCGGCUUCUAGGACCGUAGCCAUCAGCCUCCUGGAAGCAUCUCCAUAUACACUGAAUAAAAGGAAAUGAAAUUGAAAAACACAGCUCCCUGGUGACACUAGCCAUGUUUCAAGACGCUACUGUAUCAUUGCCAACAUCAUGGAAGGUUCUAUGGGGACGGCCGGGCACUAGAAGACUGUGGAGUCCACCUGGGAGGGGGAUGAGCAGCAUUGGAAAAGACAGUGAACAGGGUCCAGGAGCUAGAAGAGGACACAGUCCCGGCCACCUAGAGCUUGGGGACUGGUACGAUCGAAGGGACGUGAGGUAACUGCAGCCCAUUUGUUCAUUCGUCCAAUCAGCGGAGCUGAGUAAAUGUCACCUGUCUGACCGGUUACAACAUCACCUCGGGAAUCCUUUCGCCAACAGACAAGGACCCCCAUUCAACCGACUGGCUCCAAGCUGAGCCUUGGAGAGGUGGCUGGGGACAGGAGGAAAAGACAGAGCCCCCCACGCAUUGCCAGGAUUUCUCUUUCCGUAUCCCAGCCUCCCUGCUCCCUGGGGCACACAGGUGGAUGGCGGAGGCAGCCAGUGAAGGCACCAACCGAGGGGCAGAACCUCCACAUGCCAUGGGCGCAGGCCAAAUGGAGAGAGUGAUGGAGAGAGGAAGAAACGCUGGGAGACACAACCUCCAAGUCUCAAGUGGAAACGGGGAGAGAGGCGUCAUGGGAGGGAGCAGCUCUCGAAGUCCCAGCUGGCCCCCCCUAGCUUCGCAAGGACAGCGCUACCUCUCCUCAUCUCUAAGACACCAUCCACCACUGUACGGCGCACUUUUCCGUAUCACUCAGAAAGAGAAACCGCUGGCGAUUAAAUUUGCCGACACCAUAUCGUGAGCCUUUUCGGGCACACAGAGUUUGGGGAACUAUAUGAUGGACAGGCACAAGCGCGCCACCCAGCCUCUGCCGCUGACAUGUGGUUCUGUCGCACAUCUGUGCCUCGAGCCAUCCAUCAUUCCACCUUUUUUAAAAAAAAUUAUUAAAUAGUUGAUUGACAAUGCAGUGCCCAUCUUUUUUUCUUUUUUUUGGAUGCAUUUCAAAGUAGCUCGCAGACAUCAUAAUAGUCCCUGGCGUACGUAGCAUUAACUAGAGCUGAAUAUGUGUUCACAGUCCUUUAGUUAGCAGGAAACCUACAAAGAACGCAAAUCUUGAGCAAAAACAUUCACCGAUAUUUGACAAAUGCUUACACCUGUGUAAGCCGCCAAACCCUUUCAAGACACAGAAUCCCAGAAAUUUCCUUCCUCUCCUGUGCCAGGCAACCCCCACCCCCACCCCCACCCCCAGAGAAAACCACUCUUGUGGUUAGUUUUGCCUGUUCUAGAACUUCCUGUAAAUGGACUCGUACAGUCUGUAUUCAACAUGAUACCUUUGAUGUCUUUUGAUAUUCUUUGAUCUUCCGCAUAAGGCCUCUGAGAUCCAGCCAAGUUGUUCUAAGGAUCAGUAAUCCAUUCCUUUUAUCACUGAGUCGUUCCCCAGGGUGUGGGCGUUGCAGGGUUGGUGCCGCCAUUCCUCUGUUGAUUGACACCUGGG
RNAcentral lists this long non-coding RNA (1894 nucleotides) under Sus scrofa (pig). Its description in RNAcentral is "lncRNA (ENSSSCG00025031951.1)". Lineage: Eukaryota; Metazoa; Chordata; Mammalia; Artiodactyla; Suidae. The record is from RNAcentral.